UAAAGAAUUUCGGUAUGGGAUGGGGAUGCGUUCCAUUAGUUAGUUGGCGGGGUAACGGCCCACCAAGACAACGAUGGAUAGGGGUUCUGAGAGGGAGGUCCCCCACAUUGGAACUGAGACACGGUCCAAACUCCUACGGGAGGCAGCAGUGAGGAAUAUUGGUCAAUGGACGAGAGUCUGAACCAGCCAAGUAGCGUGAAGGAUGACUGCCCUAUGGGUUGUAAACUUCUUUUAUAUGGGAAUAAAACGUUCCACGUGUGGAAUUUUGUAUGUACCAUAUGAAUAAGGAUCGGCUAACUCCGUGCCAGCAGCCGCGGUAAUACGGAGGAUCCGAGCGUUAUCCGGAUUUAUUGGGUUUAAAGGGAGCGUAGGUGGAUUGUUAAGUCAGUUGUGAAAGUUUGCGGCUCAACCGUAAAAUUGCAGUUGAAACUGGCAGUCUUGAGUACAGUAGAGGUGGGCGGAAUUCGUGGUGUAGCGGUGAAAUGCUUAGAUAUCACGAAGAACUCCGAUUGCGAAGGCAGCUCACUGGACUGCAACUGACACUGAGGCUCGAAAGUGUGGGUAUCAAACAGGAUUAGAUACCCUGGUAGUCCACACAGUAAACGAUGAAUACUCGCUGUUUGCGAUAUACAGCAA
This 636-nucleotide ribosomal RNA is filed under the name uncultured bacterium. RNAcentral describes it as "bacterial SSU rRNA". It matches the Rfam family "Bacterial small subunit ribosomal RNA", at positions 202 to 842 of the family's 1533-position model. The record is from RNAcentral.